RNAcentral lists this transfer RNA (85 nucleotides) under Felis catus (domestic cat). It matches the Rfam family "tRNA". From Rfam's summary of the family: Transfer RNA (tRNA) molecules are approximately 80 nucleotides in length. Their secondary structure includes four short double-helical elements and three loops (D, anti-codon, and T loops). The record is from Rfam by way of RNAcentral. Lineage: Eukaryota; Metazoa; Chordata; Mammalia; Carnivora; Felidae. RNAcentral also lists the same sequence under 2 other names.
GCCUGGGUGGUUCAGUUGGUUAAGCAUCUGACUUCGGCUCAGGUCAUGAUCUCACAGUUUGUGGGUUUGAGCCCCACAUCAGGUU